This is a long non-coding RNA of Anguilla anguilla (European eel), 3023 nucleotides long. RefSeq lists it as uncharacterized. The transcript has 2 exons. NCBI's taxonomy places the organism in Eukaryota, Metazoa, Chordata, Actinopteri, Anguilliformes, Anguillidae. The record is from RefSeq and is a predicted model, not a curated record.
GUUUGUAAGGUUUAUAUGGCAUUUUGAUAGGCUUAUCUGCAGGUAAGUGAGGUAGGUGGCUGAAGAUUGAAAAGACUGCAUGAAGUGGACUCCUCCAACGUAAUGACUGCGCAGCUCAACUGGGCACAGCAGGAUAAAUUGAAUCGGCGCCGGCUUUAGAGGGGAGCAUGUGCUUGCCUGUGUCCUCUUCAAUCUACUGAGAAUGUUUCAACGAGACCACCAUACAAAUGUGACAAAGCCUUCAAAACUGGGAGAAAAAUUAGAAGAAAAAAGAUGAAUUAAAAAGGGUUCAAUUAAAUCCGUGUGAUGUUUUAGCGUGUGGUGAACAAUGCAAGUAGUCUGGUCGUAAUAAUUAAUUAAAAGGUGUGGUCAAGAUAGAACCGUGCACGAGCAAAUCAGAAAAUUUCUCAUGUAAAUCUUGUUGUCUUGACCUAGUCACAUCUGGGACAUAAUUACGAGCAGAGCCAGGAUAAUGAAUGUUUUGUACCACACCUGACAGUUGAUAGAAUGGCCUACAAUUAUUGUCACUUAAAAAAUUAUUCUCAGAAUGAGGAUUGACUUUUCAAGGGGUAUGCCUCACAUAUCAGAGAAGGUAUAUGAAGCAUGUCACAGUCUGGCCAUGUUUCUUCGUAUGACAGACGUACACAAAAAGAAGUCUUAAAAUCUGGUUUAAAACUUGAACUUGUGGACUGAUUCAUACCCUACAUACCCCUCUGCUAAUUACUCCCAUAUCACUCUUAGAACAACUUAUAAAUAUUACAAGUUCCUCUUGAGCAUUCACAAAGUAGAAAAGUAGAAGCAGUAUCAAAUAUGGAAAAAAAAUCUAUAAUUUUCUGAUAAAUGUGGCCCCAGCUCUGUACUGUAAAAUUUGUAAAUUAUUCUAAUAUUCUAAAUAUGAUUGUGUUGCUUUGUGUCCUGUCUGAUAUGUGCUAGAUUUGUACUGGAUUCAAGCGAUCAAAGUCAAAACAUUUCCAUAAGUCAUAAGUUAAUGCAUCAGUAUAUAUCAGGCUUUCCUCGUAUUAAACAUAGGAUGUAGGCUGUCAGAAAUAGUUGUAGGCAUUACGGCGCAUUACUGUAGUUUGUCACAGUGAAACACUGAAUGAUCUUCUUGCCUUGAAUUGUUUGUUUUGGUGUACAUUUUACAGUACUAAAAUUAAUUUAUUUGAUGGAAAACAGUACAUUUGUAGUGAAAACUGAUAAAAACUUGCUUCUCAUAUAGCAAUAAACUAUACAGAACAACCUGUCAUGAACAGGAUGAGGCUACAGAAGUGUACUACAUACAGUAAGCAAGAGAUGUUUGUGAAAACCAGUUAUUUGGUUUUAGAAUUCAACAUGCCAUAAUAAACACAAAAUCUAGCAUGCAUAUAUAUAUAUAUAUAUGUGUGUGUGUGUGAUAUACAAUAUUCUAAAAAUUAUAAGCUUUGAUUGCUGCCUUGCUAUGACCACAAUAUAAACAAGCCAUGCAACUUUUAUGGUGAUUAGUUACAAACCAUUGAACCACAUUACACUGAUAAUGAGCCUCAAAGCCCUUUGGCAAAUUCCACAGCCACUCACAUGACGUGAGAAAUGAGACAGAACAUCUAUAUUCAAUUCCACUGUCCAUACAUUUCCAGUGUUGCCUACAUGUUUAUUUGCAUGCCGAAUCUUGUCGAUUUUAAUUACUGUGCUCUUCCUGGAAUGCUGUAAAGCUUGUGAAUAAUUAAGUGUAAAUGCACCAUACGCCUUCAAGCGAUGAAGCUUUAUUGUGCAAUUAUGGAAGGAAAAUUGUGAAAAAGAACCGUCAUAUUUACAUAUGUACAUUUUUUGUAUGUCUCCGUGGUUACAUAAACAGUAUUUGCGCAUUACACAUCUGAAAAGGCUAAGUAUAAAUGCCUGAAUCAAGACCUUCCCAGUGACUUGAACUCGUAGCCCCUUUUGAUCCAGUGUGUCCAGCGGUCCUCUGCAGUGCAGCACCAGGUUUCUUAAACACACAGCAUGUCUCCCUGACACUUCAGCUUUACCGUUAAAUUGUACCACUUGAAAGCCAAUAUAUUUUCAUGUGAACUGUGUGUGAAAUAUAAAGCGUGGCAGGGUUGAAAAUGAAUUACUUUUUGAGUACAGCUUCAAAUCAAUGGCUCUUAUUCAACCUUAUUCAGUGAUGUUCAUCCCCGCACAAAAAAAAAACAAAGUUGGACGUGUGUAAGCACAUCAAGCACACGUGGAUCAAUGUGAUGGACUCAAAUAGUAAAGGCUACAACAUAAUUGACAUAUUACAUCAACCCAUAUGAAAUUGCUGGGUUCUACUUAGAUAUCAAUCAGACUGGCUGAUUGAUAUCUAAGAUAUCUGGCUUCACUGAAGACAAUACUGUUCUGCAGUGUGCUCUAUGUGCAAUGAAAUGAAAAUUGAGCCCUCUUUAUCAACUAUAUUUUGCUUUACCAUAAAGAUUGAUCUAUUUUUGUGUAUAAUGUUCCUCCAUAUUCCAGUCUCCAUUUUUACUCCUUAAUUUUAAUGAUGGACUGUAAUUAUAGGCUUCUCGGGACUGUGCAUGCUUUGGAGAAGUAUGGUGUCUCAGAGGUCUCUGAUUCAAAUUAUGGAUGUUUUCUUCACGUUUGAAUGUUUAUUGGUUUUUACUUCAAAAGUUGAUGGGAAAAUACAUGUCAAAUUUUUUUUUUUUUAAAUAUAUUUGCUGUUUAAUAAAUUAAAAUGACUCAUAAAUCAUUGGUAGAAGAUAAAAGAAAACCCUCACACGGUGUGGUAUGCUACUGGUAGCAGCUUCGUGUUUGUGAAAUAAAGGAAGAAUAAAGUAGAGCCUGUAUAUCAUCUUUUGUUUGGAUUAACUGGAAAUCCAGGUACCCAUGUGUAUGCAUGAUGCACUAAUGAUGCAAAAACACAACUGGCCAAGAAACAGCUGAGCAGCCAAUCGUCCAAUUACUUUUGCUUCCCUAAAAUGAGGGGCCAUGUUUAAAAAGGGCUGUGAGUCCUACACUGCUCAUCCGAUAUGGAUGAAACUAUGUUCAAUUAAAGCUGACGGUCUGCACUCUAA